UACGUAGGGUGCGAGCGUUGUCCGGAAUUAUUGGGCGUAAAGCGCUCGUAGGCGGUGUGUCACGUCGUUCGUGAAAACCUGCAGCUUAACUGUGGGCGUGCGGUCGAUACGGGCAUCACUGGAGUUCGGCAGGGGAGACUGGAAUUCCUGGUGUAGCGGUGAAAUGCACAGAUAUCAGGAGGAACACCGGUGGCGAAGGCGGGUCUCUGGGCCGAUACUGACGCUGAGGAGCGAAAGCGUGGGGAGCGAACAGG
RNAcentral lists this ribosomal RNA (254 nucleotides) under uncultured bacterium. RNAcentral describes it as "partial 16S ribosomal RNA". It matches the Rfam family "Bacterial small subunit ribosomal RNA", at positions 524 to 776 of the family's 1533-position model. The record is from RNAcentral.